ACUCCUACGGGAGGCAGCAGUGGGGAAUAUUGCACAAUGGGCGCAAGCCUGAUGUAGCGACGCCGCGUGAGGGAUGACGGCCUUCGGGUUGUAAACCUCUUUCGCCAGGGACGAAGCGCAAGUGACGGUACCUGGAUAAGAAGCACCGGCUAACUACGUGCCAGCAGCCGCGGUAAUACGUAGGGUGCGAGCGUUGUCCGGAAUUAUUGGGCGUAAAGAGCUCGUAGGCGGUUUGUCGCGUCGUUCGUGAAAACUCCACGCUUAACGUGGAGCGUGCGGGCGAUACGGGCAGACUUGAGUUCGGUAGGGGAGACUGGAAUUCCUGGUGUAGCGGUGAAAUGCGCAGAUAUCAGGAGGAACACCGGUGGCGAAGGCGGGUCUCUGGGCCGAUACUGACGCUGAGGAGCGAAAGCGUGGGGAGCGAACAGGAUUAGAUACCCUGGUAGUCCACGCUGCAAACGUUGGGCGCUAGGUGUGGGCGACAUCCACGUUGUCCGUGCCGUAGCUAACGCAUUAAGCGCCCCGCCUGGGGAGUACGGCCGCAAGGCUAAAACUCAAAGGAAUUGACGGGGGCCCGCACAAGCGGCGGAGCAUGUGGAUUAAUUCGAUGCAACGCGAAGAACCUUACCUGGGCUUUGACAUGCGCCAGACAUCCCUAGAGAUAGGGCUUCCCUUGCGGUUGGUGUACAGGUGGUGCAUGGCUGUCGUCAGCUCGUGUCGUGAAAAGUUGGGGUUAAGUCCCCGCAACGAGCGCAACCCUUAUCCUACGUUGCCAGGGGCG
Molecule: ribosomal RNA, 781 nt
Filed under: uncultured Actinomyces sp.
Lineage: Bacteria; Bacillati; Actinomycetota; Actinomycetes; Actinomycetales; Actinomycetaceae
Description: bacterial SSU rRNA
Rfam family: Bacterial small subunit ribosomal RNA
Source: RNAcentral